RNAcentral lists this microRNA (22 nucleotides) under Cervus elaphus (red deer). RNAcentral's name for it is "cel-miR-20a-2*". The record is from RNAcentral. Lineage: Eukaryota; Metazoa; Chordata; Mammalia; Artiodactyla; Cervidae.
ACUGCAUUGUGAGCACUUAAAG